CCUACGGGUGGCAGCAGUGAGGAAUAUUGGUCAAUGGUCGGGAGACUGAACCAGCCAAGCCGCGUGAGGGAUGAAGGUACAGAGUAUCGUAAACCUCUUUUGUCAGGGAACAAAUGCGGGGACGUGUCCCCGGACGAGUGUACCUGAAGAAAAAGCAACGGCUAACUCCGUGCCAGCAGCCGCGGAAAUACGGGGGAUGCGAGCGUUAUCCGGUUUGAUUGGGUUUAAGGGGUGCGCAGGCGGUCUGUUAAGUCAGCGGGAAAGGCCCGGGGCUCAACGACGCCCCGCCUUUGAAACUGGCAGUCUCGAGUUGGAGAGAGGUAUGCGGAAUGCGCGGUGUAGCGGUGAAAUGCGUAGAUAUCGGGCAGAACACCAGUUGCGAAGGCAGCAUGCCGGCUCCACACUGACGCUGAGGCACGAAAGCGUGGGUAGCGAACAGGAUUAGAUACCCUUGUAGUC
RNAcentral lists this ribosomal RNA (459 nucleotides) under uncultured bacterium. RNAcentral describes it as "partial 16S ribosomal RNA". It matches the Rfam family "Bacterial small subunit ribosomal RNA", at positions 338 to 795 of the family's 1533-position model. The record is from RNAcentral.